GUGCUCGCUUUGGCAGCACACAUACUAAAAUUAGAACGAUACAGAGAAGAUUAGCAUGGCCCCUGCACAAGGGUGACACGCAAAUUCGUGAAGCGUUCCGUAUUUUU
Molecule: small nuclear RNA, 107 nt
Filed under: Delphinapterus leucas (beluga whale)
Lineage: Eukaryota; Metazoa; Chordata; Mammalia; Artiodactyla; Monodontidae
Source: RNAcentral